This is a long non-coding RNA of Bactrocera neohumeralis, 205 nucleotides long. RefSeq lists it as uncharacterized. The transcript has 2 exons. NCBI's taxonomy places the organism in Eukaryota, Metazoa, Arthropoda, Insecta, Diptera, Tephritidae. The record is from RefSeq and is a predicted model, not a curated record.
UCAGUCUUAUGUUCUAAAUAUUUAUUUUAAUCGUAAGGCAACUCUGUUUAAGUAUACUAAAAGAUUUAAUGGCUUCUUCCGGUUUUACUUUCUUACGAGUAACCGAGGAGAAACCACGGAUAAAUAUUAAAACGCACGCUCACUCACGCACGCACGCAUUCGCUUUGGCAAAUGUUUCUUUGAAUAAAGUGUUUUAAUAUAUUCG